Molecule: non-coding RNA, 23 nt
Filed under: Arabidopsis thaliana (thale cress)
Lineage: Eukaryota; Viridiplantae; Streptophyta; Magnoliopsida; Brassicales; Brassicaceae
Source: RNAcentral
GAAGGAUCCUUUCGCCUAUUGUA